Long non-coding RNA from Dreissena polymorpha, 745 nucleotides. RefSeq lists it as uncharacterized. The record is from RefSeq and is a predicted model, not a curated record. The transcript is spliced from 4 exons. NCBI's taxonomy places the organism in Eukaryota, Metazoa, Mollusca, Bivalvia, Myida, Dreissenidae.
UUAGGUACUUAUUCGAAAUAUGUUUACAUUAUUAUUAAUGUUAUUAUCAAUUGCAUGCACUAAAAUGUGUCCACAUGGGCCAUUGGCCUUCUAUGAAAUAUGUAAAAUCAAAUUUUGUAUUUAAAAAUACAAUUGAUUGCGAAGUUUGAGACGCGCGUGUGGGUUAUGAUAAAUUAUGUAGUAAGUGUGAACAUUUGGCUUGCCCUCAAACCGGUGUAACUCCCAAUGCUUUGCAUUGCCCUUUUCAAGGCGGGGUUCAAGUUUGGAUCGUUUAAUGUUUAAACUGACGCGAGACGUUAUGCUAAAGGACAAUACUGGAAAAGAAGUUCAGGCGUUGCACGUAUUUGUCGUAGUGAUCAAACAUUUUACAGAACGCGUCUACGAACUUCUGAAAACUCAGCAGGUUGGAACUACUUCUGAUGACGUUCUAUGGACCCUCACUGUGCCUGCCAUUUGGUCAGAUGGUGCAAAGCAGUUCAUGAGAGAAGCUGCUAGCAAAGCUGGUAUCGAAGAUGGAAAUCUAAAAUUGGUAUUAGAACCGGAAGCAGCAUCUUGUUUCUGCCGAGAACAGGAGAUGUGAAGAGUUGUAAAGGUUGAUAACAGCGUUCAAUUGGAGAAGCUGCCCGUGUGACAUAAAUACAUUGAAGCCGAUUUGGGAGGGGGAACAGCUGAUAUCGCUGUGCACGAAGUUAUUGAAGACAACGAUUUGAGGGAGAUUUCAAGAUCGGAGGGAGAUGCUUAUGGC